Molecule: long non-coding RNA, 1496 nt
Filed under: Olea europaea (common olive)
Lineage: Eukaryota; Viridiplantae; Streptophyta; Magnoliopsida; Lamiales; Oleaceae
Description: long non-coding RNA (OEUR_LNC008446)
Source: RNAcentral
AAAAAAAAGUAUUUUAACCAAUAGUUACAACCAGGAUCAAAAGUUUUAACUUAUUUUUGGAUUUCAAAAGUUUUCCAACAACCACAAUUCUUGUUCUACCGAGUUGCUGCAUUCUUCCUUGUCAUUGGAGGGGCAAUGGAAUUCACCCCUCUGAUCGCCCUUUUGUUCUUUGCACAGAAGCUUACACUAACUUUCCUUCCCCCUCCUUGAAUUGCCUGACUUAGAAAGUGAAGAACCGACAUUCAUAGCUUCUGCUUCCUUAUGCGCCCUUUUUUCUGCACCAUUAUAGGAGCACAUGUAAAAAACAAUAGUACUCUCAUUGAACCAGACCUCAAAUUGGAAAAUGGAAAUGCCAUAUUAUAGCUUACAUUAGAAUCAAAUGGCUGCUUGAGAGCUUUGUAUUCCGGUUUCACAUUCCUAUUUCCAUUACAGAAUGGAGACCUUAUUAUGAAUAAUGUUGAAUCGUAAUUAUUUUUAUAAAUAUCCUAUUUAUUCAUUUCAACCUUUUAUUUAAGUUUAAUUCAAAUUUUAGUGACACUCGAAUUGUUAAAGAUUCGGAUUGUCACAUGUUUACUUCAAAACUAGAUUGAAAACCAUCAUUUCUAGAAUCAAAAUUUUGCUAAAUCAUCACGGAAUGCAGUCAUCACAAUUUAAUAUAAUGAUCGAGAACAAAACAAAUUGUAAAUGAGUUCCUUUGCAUUUCUUUGUCCUAGAAAGUAUUAAUUUCAACAAACUCAAAAUGCUGCUCAAAGGACACCUUUGAAUGAGAAACUAGGUAAACAAACUGUGGGGAAUCUGUUUACCUAAAGUCAUCACCGGCAAAGGAUUACAAGAUUAUAUCUUGCCAAACCAGUAUAACAGGAAUUCCAACACGAAAGUCAAACACACAAAUCAACAACCUUUUUUUUUUUAACAAUAAAAAACAAAAAAAAUCAGGAGAAGAUUUUAACAGCCUUCAAUGUGGGAUUACCUCCCAUCGGAGUGGACUUCAUAAUCGAUCAAAGUAACCAUAGCUGCCGAAACUUUCAAUCUUACCAUCUUUGCGCGGAAGUGGAUUCAAAUUUCAUUUAGCACAAACCAUAUUACAAUGGGAAAGAUGGAUUUUCAAAAUGGAUUUGAGGUUUAUGGUUUGGGGUAUUUUUUAGUUUUUACACAAUUCUUCUCUCGAUUUUGUCCUACAGAGGCGAAGAGCAAUGAAAUGGAUUUGGGGGUUAGGGUUAGGGAUUCGGUUUGUCUGGAAAUGAUAAGGCGGGUUUGUUUGGAAUUGGGUAAGGCAUGCUUAGCUGAUGUGGAGGAUCUAAUUAACCAUUUAACGGUCCAAGUUAUUAGUCCGUCAUCCCUGUAAGCAGAUCUACCUACGAAUUUUUGAUUUGGCGCGUGAUGGAGUGGGACAGAGCAAAAUUUAGUGGUUAAUGGGACAUUUCAUGUAGUUCGAUGAGUAAGUUGUGAUAUAGUGCAAGUUCAGUGGCCAUUGAAACAUUCAACUCUAACUCGUU